UACGAAGGGGGCUAGCGUUGCUCGGAAUCACUGGGCGUAAAGGGUGCGUAGGUGGCGCCGUAAGUCAGGCGUGAAAUCUCGGGGCUUAACUCCGAAACUGCAUUUGAUACUGCGGUGCUUGAGGACUGGAGAGGAGACUGGAAUUUACGGUGUAGCAGUGAAAUGCGUAGAGAUCGUAAGGAAGACCAGUGGCGAAGGCGGGUCUCUGGACAGUUCCUGACACUGAGGCACGAAGGCCAGGGGAGCAAACAGG
This 253-nucleotide ribosomal RNA is filed under the name uncultured bacterium. RNAcentral describes it as "partial 16S ribosomal RNA". It matches the Rfam family "Bacterial small subunit ribosomal RNA", at positions 524 to 776 of the family's 1533-position model. The record is from RNAcentral.